Molecule: ribosomal RNA, 468 nt
Filed under: uncultured bacterium
Lineage: Bacteria
Description: bacterial SSU rRNA
Rfam family: Bacterial small subunit ribosomal RNA
Source: RNAcentral
GUCGAACGAGAAGAGAUGAGAAGCUUGCUUCUUAUUAAUUCGAGUGGCAAACGGGUGAGUAACGCGUAAGCAACCUGCCCUUCAGAUGGGGACAACAACUGGAAACGGCUGCUAAUACCGAAUACGUCUUUUUGUCGCAUGGCAGAGAGAAGAAAGGGAGGCUCUUCGGAGCUUUCGCUGAUGGAUGGGGAUGCGUCUGAUUAGCUUGUUGGCGGGGUAACGGCCCACCAAGGCAACGAUCAGUAGGGGUUCUGAGAGGAAGGUCCCCCACAUUGGAACUGAGACACGGUCCAAACUCCUACGGGAGGCAGCAGUGAGGAAUAUUGGUCAAUGGGCGAGAGCCUGAACCAGCCAAGUAGCGUGCAGGACGACGGCCCUAUGGGUUGUAAACUUCUUUAGUGCGGGAACAAAGCGGUGUCGUGACGCCGGAUGAGUGUACCGCAAGAAUAAGCAUCGGCUAACUCCGUG